RNAcentral lists this ribosomal RNA (278 nucleotides) under uncultured Rikenellaceae bacterium. RNAcentral describes it as "partial 16S ribosomal RNA". It matches the Rfam family "Bacterial small subunit ribosomal RNA", at positions 511 to 788 of the family's 1533-position model. Lineage: Bacteria; Pseudomonadati; Bacteroidota; Bacteroidia; Bacteroidales; Rikenellaceae. The record is from RNAcentral.
GCCGCCGCGGUAAUACGGAGGAUGCGAGCGUUAUCCGGAUUUAUUGGGUUUAAAGGGUGCGUAGGUGGCUUUUUAAGUCAGUGGUGAAAGUUUGUGGCUCAACCAUAAAAUUGCCAUUGAAACUGGGGAGCUUGAGUGUGUUUGAGGUAGGCGGAAUGCGUGGUGUAGCGGUGAAAUGCAUAGAUAUCACGCAGAACUCCAAUUGCGAAGGCAGCUUACUAAGCCAUAACUGACACUGAAGCACGAAAGCGUGGGGAUCAAACAGGAUUAGAUACCCC